Molecule: transfer RNA, 84 nt
Filed under: Defluviitalea raffinosedens
Lineage: Bacteria; Bacillati; Bacillota; Clostridia; Lachnospirales; Defluviitaleaceae
Also listed under: 1 other name
Rfam family: tRNA
About the family: Transfer RNA (tRNA) molecules are approximately 80 nucleotides in length. Their secondary structure includes four short double-helical elements and three loops (D, anti-codon, and T loops).
Source: Rfam by way of RNAcentral
GCGGAUGUGGCGGAAUUGGCAGACGCAGCAGACUCAAAAUCUGCCGGUGGCGACACCGUGGGGGUUCGACUCCCUUCAUCCGCA